GACGAACGCUGGCGGCGUGCUUAACACAUGCAAGUCGAACGAUGAAGCCGGAGCUUGCUCUGGUGAAUUAGUGGCGAACGGGUGAGUAACACGUGAGUAACCUGCCCUUGACUCUGGGAUAACUGCGGGAAACUGUAGCUAAUACCGGAUACGACCCUCGGAGGCAUCUCCUGGGGGUGGAAAGAAUUUCGGUCAAGGAUGGACUCGCGGCCCAUCAGCUAGUUGGUGAGGUAAAGGCUCACCAAGGCGACGACGGGUAGCCGGCCUGAGAGGGUGCCCGGCCACACUGGGACUGAGACACGGCCCAGACUCCUACGGGAGGCAGCAGUGGGGAAUAUUGCACAAUGGGCGCAAGCCUGAUGCAGCAACGCCGCGUGAGGGAUGACGGCCUUCGGGUUGUAAACCUCUUUUAGCAGGGAAGAAGCGAAAGUGACGGUACCUGCAGAAAAAGCACCGGCUAACUACGUGCCAGCAGCCGCCGUAA
This 484-nucleotide ribosomal RNA is filed under the name uncultured bacterium. RNAcentral describes it as "partial 16S ribosomal RNA". It matches the Rfam family "Bacterial small subunit ribosomal RNA", at positions 28 to 523 of the family's 1533-position model. The record is from RNAcentral.